GGCAGCCAAGUCGUGAGGCGGAGCUAAUCCCUUAAAGCCAUUCUCAGUUCGGAUUGUAGGCUGAAACUCGCCUACAUGAAGCUGGAGUUACUAGUAAUCGCAGAUCAGAAUGCUGCGGUGAAUGCGUUCCCGGGUCUUGUACACACCGCCCGUCACACCACGGAAGUUGGGGGCGCCCGAAGCCACUUAGCUAACCCUUUUGGGAAGCGAGUGUCGAAGGUGAAAUCAAUAACUGGGGUGAAGUCGUAACAAGGUAAC
This 258-nucleotide ribosomal RNA is filed under the name uncultured bacterium. RNAcentral's name for it is "partial 16S ribosomal RNA". It matches the Rfam family "Bacterial small subunit ribosomal RNA", at positions 1245 to 1500 of the family's 1533-position model. The record is from RNAcentral.